AGAGUUUGAUCCUGGCUCAGAACGAACGCUGGCGGCAGGCUUAACACAUGCAAGUCGAACGCACCUUCGGGUGAGUGGCAGACGGGUGAGUAACGCGUGGGAACGUGCCCUUCAGUUCGGAAUAACCCAGGGAAACUUGGGCUAAUACCGGAUACGUGCGAGAGCAGAAAGAUUUAUCGCUGAAGGAUCGGCCCGCGUCUGAUUAGCUAGUUGGUGGGGUAAUGGCCCACCAAGGCGACGAUCAGUAGCUGGUCUGAGAGGAUGAUCAGCCACAUUGGGACUGAGACACGGCCCAAACUCCUACGGGAGGCAGCAGUGGGGAAUAUUGGACAAUGGGCGCAAGCCUGAUCCAGCCAUGCCGCGUGAGUGAUGAAGGCCUUAGGGUUGUAAAGCUCUUUCGGCGGGGGACGAUAAUGACGGUACCCGCAGAAGAAGCCCCGGCUAACUUCGUGCCAGCAGCCGCGGUAAUACGAAGGGGGCUAGCGUUGUUCGGAAUCACUGGGCGUAAAGGGCGCGUAGGCGGCUUGAUAAGUCGGGGGUGAAAGCCUGUGGCUCAACCACAGAAUUGCCUUCGAUACUGUCUGGCUUGAGACCGGAAGAGGUAAGUGGAACUGCGAGUGUAGAGGUGAAAUUCGUAGAUAUUCGCAAGAACACCAGUGGCGAAGGCGGCUUACUGGUCCGGUUCUGACGCUGAGGCGCGAAAGCGUGGGGAGCAAACAGGAUUAGAUACCCCCGUAGUCC
This 741-nucleotide ribosomal RNA is filed under the name uncultured Hyphomicrobiales bacterium. Its description in RNAcentral is "bacterial SSU rRNA". It matches the Rfam family "Bacterial small subunit ribosomal RNA", at positions 8 to 796 of the family's 1533-position model. Lineage: Bacteria; Pseudomonadati; Pseudomonadota; Alphaproteobacteria; Hyphomicrobiales. The record is from RNAcentral.